GAGUUUGAUCGUGGCUCAGGACGAACGCUGGCGGCGUGCUUAACACAUGCAAGUCGAGCGAGGCCCUCCUUCGGGGGGUGCCCUAGCGGCGAACGGGUGGGUAACACGUGGGCAACCUGCCCUCAGCUCUGGGAUAACUCCAAGAAAUUGGUGCUAAUACCGGAUGUGACCGCUGACCGCAUGGUCUGGUGGUGGAAAGAUUCAUCGGCUGAGGAUGGGCCCGCGGCCUAUCAGCUUGUUGGUGGGGUAAUGGCCCACCAAGGCGACGACGGGUAGCCGGCCUGAGAGGGUGACCGGCCACACUGGGACUGAGACACGGCCCAGACUCCUACGGGAGGCAGCAGUGGGGAAUAUUGCGCAAUGGGCGAAAGCCUGACGCAGCGACGCCGCGUGAGGGAUGACGGCCUUCGGUUGUAACC
This 419-nucleotide ribosomal RNA is filed under the name uncultured Actinomycetes bacterium. Its description in RNAcentral is "bacterial SSU rRNA". It matches the Rfam family "Bacterial small subunit ribosomal RNA", at positions 9 to 430 of the family's 1533-position model. The record is from RNAcentral. Lineage: Bacteria; Bacillati; Actinomycetota; Actinomycetes.